AGUGAUCCGGUGGUCCCGAAUGGAAGGGUCAUCGCUCAACGGAUAAAAGGUACUCCGGGGAGAACAGGCUAAUUCCUCCCAAGAGAUCAUAUCGACGGAGGAGUUUGGCACCUCGAUGUCGGCUCAUCACAUCCUGGGGCUGAAGUAGGUCCCAAGGGUAUUGCUGUUCGCCAUUUAAAGUGGUACGCGCGCUGGGUUCAGAACGUCGUGAGACAGUUCGGUCCCUAUCUGCCGUGGGCGGUAGAGCUUUGAGACGAGUUGCUCCUAGUUCGCGAGG
This 277-nucleotide ribosomal RNA is filed under the name Francisella tularensis subsp. holarctica. RNAcentral's name for it is "partial 23S ribosomal RNA". It matches the Rfam family "Bacterial large subunit ribosomal RNA", at positions 2414 to 2690 of the family's 2925-position model. The record is from RNAcentral. Lineage: Bacteria; Pseudomonadati; Pseudomonadota; Gammaproteobacteria; Thiotrichales; Francisellaceae.